AGAUUGCGCAACUAUAACACAUAAGUGACUCGUAGCAACUGUAUGUGUUUGAAGGAGAACGCAUUCUCGCGUAGAUGCUUCUUUUUACGGAAUCCUCCUCGGACGCGUAACACGGGCCAUAAUGCCAUGUUAUGGAACUUUGCCAUUGUAUUGUUUCCGUGGAUCUAUUUGCGAUACACGAGUGUUUCUUUCAGCACAUUCACCUAUGACCCCAGUCGUCGAGUUUAGUAAACCUAAACGACCACCUGUACAUACAAGAUUUCCAUUUUGCUUAUCUCCUAACUUAAACUCACCAAAAAAGGCACCUCGAGUACAUGCGAGGUGUGCAAGGUGUUCGUGCGCCGUGGAAUGUAGGAAAGAAUGGCCAUGGAAGGAAUGGCAGACCCACUGGCCAUAAUAUUGAGCUACGCACACGCAACUGCUUGCCAUUCCAUAUACACUUAGCGCCUUCGUCGAUGUUUUAAUGACGACACUGUCAUGGAAACGUAUUCUGCAGGCAGAAUCAUGGAGUCCUUCUGCCCUUUCUUCGUGGUGGACCGCGGAGGCAUUCCUUACAGCCCCCCGUAACAUGUUAUCACGUCAACUUAUGUAAUGUUAAAAAUUUGACUAUGUUUGAUAGUAAAAGAUUCUUAACUUCGAAUAUGUUGAACUCAUUGAAAUAAGCUGAAACCAAUUUACUUUUAACACAUGAAUAACUUCUCUAUUUUGCAAAAAAAAAAGAUGAAAGCUUUAAUAUUCUUUGCACGGUUUAAAUUGUCACACUUUGUUACUACUACAUUGUUACACUGUGUAGUAUUAUACUUAAUACUGCUUAAACACUGUUCGAUGCGUUUCCUGACCCCUUGAAGUUAACUAUGUAUGUAUAUAGAAUGUUGGUGAGACGACGGGAAUCUUUUCACCCGGCUCUCACCCGGAAACCUCAACAGCGUUAAACGUGGCAGUAUUAAAUAUUGGAUUGCCAGAUAAGUCUUAAACCUUUCAGAGGUCACAUUUUUGCUCAGAAAGAAGAAAAAUUCUGUAUGAAUGGCAUAAUGGAACUAUUCAAUAGGUGGCAGAAUAUUAUUGAACAAAGUGGUGCAUAUUUGAUUUAAUUAUAUUAUUACAAAGUGUUCAAAUAAAGUAUAAUUCAUACUAGAAAAGCUUCAAGACUUAUCUGAUUAUCCAAUAUAAUAUUGCACAGUGUAACAAUGUUAAGUGUAAAAAAGAUGAAGGUUAUAUUGAGGAUUGGAUACAUUACUUCAGGUAAAACUCGGCAAAGUUUCUGCUAUCCAGAACGAAUCUUGACCUCUCCUUGUGCGUUUCGUCUCAUUUAAAUCACGGGACUGAAUGAAAUCUCGUUUUCCCGUUACAUGGAAUCUGAUUCAUGCGCGAAUCACGCCGAUCGGCGUGGAAAGAGAAUGCAUUCUUCUCUAGCCGCUUCUAUCCACCGUAUCUUCGGCCAUUCUGGAUGCUGGAUACUUUGUAGAUACGUCCAAAUAACGUUCCAAAUAGAGAGAAUCAACGAGCAAACAUUGGUGUCACGAAACAAAGGAACCCUCUUAUCCGGCUACGAGGAACGCGAAUGCAAAGAAUUCAUUAUUCAAUCGCGCCUCCGGUACUCGUGUUGUGCCCAUUAUUGAUUACACGGGCUUUUGUAAGAAAAUUCUUACGAGAUCCCGAUGAGUGAUCGUUGGAUAUGCGAAGUUAUAUAGCGUCACGCGUAUCGGACUUUUUGCGGUGAGGUGGUGACAGUCUGAGCUGGAAUUAAUAACAAAAAAAUGCAUCUAUAAGAUUAGUUUACUAGGCUUAUAAAAUUGGAGGAAUUUUAUAGCGUUGAUCCUUGAUGACCUUGAUUCAUUAAUUUAAUUCAUAAAUGGUGAAACCAUUAGCAAGAAAUUGCUAGACUAUGGAACAUUAAAACAUUUUAUAUUAAUAAGUGAUUAUUGAAUUGAAAAACAUAAAAAUAUUUUAUAUAGAUUAAUUUUUAAGCUAGAAUAAUAUGAAAUUAGUUUAUGCUAUAUAGAUUUAGUAGUUAAUGAGUAGUUAAUAGAUUUAAUAGUAUGAAAGAAAGAGAAAAUAUUGAAGAAUACAGUGUGGCUUAUAAUGCACCAACAGUAGAGAGAACUAAAAAGGGUGGUUAAAAGAACAUAAAGAGUGUAGAAAGUCACUAAAAUAACAGUAGAAUCCUGCAAGAUCGCAAAUAAAAAGAAGCCCAACUGUACAUGAUAAGGUAAUGAAAAAUAUAAUAUCAAUAUCUAAUAACAAAAUGUUACAAUUAUAACCUUAAAAGAAAGAAGCUAACCUAUUUCUGUGCCAAGAACAGAAACCAAGACAGACCAAAAGAGCAAAAAAGAGAAAUGACGGUAGUGUUCGUUGCGCGAAGAUGCAUCGAAAAUUUCACCUGACCAGCAAUGGCCAAUUUCACGGAUAGCAAGAGCGUACCAGAGACUGAAUCGCGCGAGUUAAUCAUACGCGACGCAAGUAGGCCGACCUGGGCAAAAACAAACGAUAUGCGCACGCGGCCGCGCCGCGUGCGAUACAUAUAAUUGGCCAACGUAUUGCUAGCGGCUCGUGAAGUAUUCCAGCAAAUCCGACAUACAUUCCAGCGCGGAUCCCGGCUACUUACGUUCCGCCUCGCUGUGGAAUGCAGUCACCUUGUGGCAGGUGUACGGUGUACCGAACGUCCUCAAACAUUUCAACCUCCUACUUUCCCCGAUUUGAAUUCAAAUGCGUCUUCGUUGCGGCAAGUGGGAGCAACGGGAUCUGGCUGAACCAGUCGUUUCGGGAUUGGUCUUCCUUCGUUGUACCAUCGAAGCACUGAAACAUUGAUUAUUGUUUGAUAUCUGAUUUUUAGAGGUUUUUGAUAUUAAAAGAAAUAAGAUUGAUUGGAUAUUCAUCCUUAA
Molecule: long non-coding RNA, 2882 nt
Organism: Bombus impatiens (common eastern bumble bee)
Lineage: Eukaryota; Metazoa; Arthropoda; Insecta; Hymenoptera; Apidae
Exons: 2
Source: RefSeq, a predicted model, not a curated record